UACAGAGGGUGCAAGCGUUAAUCGGAAUUACUGGGCGUAAAGCGUGCGUAGACGGUUACAUAAGUCAGAUGUGAAAGCCCCGGGCUCAACCUGGGAAUUGCAUUUGAGACUGUGUAGCUAGGGUGCGGAAGAGGGAAGCGGAAUUUCCGGUGUAGCGGUGAAAUGCGUAGAUAUCGGAAGGAACACCAGUGGCGAAAGCGGCUUCCUGGUCCAGCACCGACGUUCAGGCACGAAAGCGUGGGGAGCAAACAGG
Molecule: ribosomal RNA, 253 nt
Filed under: uncultured bacterium
Lineage: Bacteria
Also listed under: 1 other name
Description: partial 16S ribosomal RNA
Rfam family: Bacterial small subunit ribosomal RNA
Source: RNAcentral